RNAcentral lists this long non-coding RNA (165 nucleotides) under Polistes fuscatus (common paper wasp). RNAcentral describes it as "uncharacterized LOC122517444". The record is from RNAcentral. Lineage: Eukaryota; Metazoa; Arthropoda; Insecta; Hymenoptera; Vespidae.
UUUAAAUCGCUUUACGAGUCCGGAAAAUAUUCGGAGGCAGAUAUUCGUGAUGAAAUAAAUACAAUGGUUUUUGCAGGAAGUGAUACUGCCGCUAAUUCGCUAACAUUUUUAUUUUUAAUGUUAGCCACGUUUCCGGACAUUCAAAAUCAAGUAUACGAAGAGCUG